GCCUGGGUGGCUCAGUCGGUUGAGCAUCUGACUUUGGUUCAGGUCAUGAUCUCACGGUUCAUGGGUUCAAGCUCCGUGUUGGGCU
Molecule: transfer RNA, 85 nt
Filed under: Felis catus (domestic cat)
Lineage: Eukaryota; Metazoa; Chordata; Mammalia; Carnivora; Felidae
Also listed under: 1 other name
Rfam family: tRNA
About the family: Transfer RNA (tRNA) molecules are approximately 80 nucleotides in length. Their secondary structure includes four short double-helical elements and three loops (D, anti-codon, and T loops).
Source: Rfam by way of RNAcentral